GUGGGUGCGGCGUUACUAUGGCUACGUGUUGUGUGUUGUUAUUUGGGAAGGCGUGUUUUAACCACGAUAUUUACGCCUUUCGUCUCUGGCCCCAUCUGUUUCCCGUCUUGAAGCUGUGUGGAUCACAUGGUCUACCAGUCAUUGCAGCUCUUCUUUCUCUCAGUGUUUACCAGCACGGAGAGGGGCACGGCACGCAAGAUAUCGGUCUUGCUGAACAAGCUGCUUCAGCCGACCAAGCUUUCCCGCACUCCUCCGUGCAGACAUAGUAUAGUGGCAGGUAACCGAGUGUUUGAGCAUCCCAUAAGCAGGAGCGAUUUUACAUCGAAGGGCGAGUGGUGAGGUGGGCAAAGGAGGUAGUGGGCCAAGAUCUGAGGAACAGCAGAAUGGGGUGGGCUGUAGAGAAAGUGAAACGGGAACUGGAGGUGCAACACUCGGUAACAAGUAAGUCAGAAAAAGUCUGAAGGACAUAUUGUGUGACUGGUGACUUUUACUUUGCUACUAACAGCAGACUUUUUUUAUGUUUUCUUUUGUUGCUGGAGCCCAGGCUCCUUCUGUAUUUCUCAGCUUCUCGGUUGGCUAAAAGUGGUUUAACUAACUUAUACAGGCAUAUUUUAUAAGAGCAAAAGCUAUAUAGCUUCUAACAGAACCUCUGACUUGUGUUGUGAUUUUGGGUCUUCUAAAUUAUAUGCUGGUCUGUGGGAGUAACAUAGCUAAUAUGUCACAGUUGUUGUAAUUAGUGCUGGCAGAAUGCGAUCUGUUACAUUUCAUUUGUGUAAAAUGUAUUUGAAGGGAUUCACUUAGGGAUCUAUUUAUUGAAUUAUAUGAGCUUUUACUUACAUUAAAUUUGAAGCUGUGGCAUGACUAGUUAUUGGGAUUAAUAUGUCUAUGAAGAUUUUCAUUCAUCCAGGUCAUGGUAUAUCUAGUAUAAAUAAAUCUAAAGCAACUGGACUUGUUAAGAAAGACUUGUUUCUUAACAAGUCCAGUUGCUUUAGAUUUAUUUAUACUAGAUAUUGGGAUUAAGACAUUUACUAUUAACAUAUAUUGCAGCUGUUUAUCAGUCAAAUAGGGCACCCUAUAGUUCCUAGAGGGCAGAGUACUGUAUAGUUCCUAGGCAUUUGCAGGGUAUAUUUUCAUAUACACCUCUGCUUUUCAGUACAAUGAUUGAUAAAUAGUAACACAUCCACCACCGAGCCUUUGGCACUUGAGUAAAGAUUCACAUUUUUUUCAAAACAACCGGUGUGCUGCUGUUUUCAUCAUUUUUACAUCCACCAAGUUCAACCUUCUGUCCUAUAAAAACCAACCUACCUACUUGCUAUUUGAUUGUGUAGUGCACUCAAGGGAAGUGGCCAAAAAUGUAUUCCUUUCUUGUUUUCAUAUGGGGGCCCAUAUAAAUAGCUUCUAUGCAGUGCAUAUUACAUUUUGCAGGGGACCAUAAAAAAAUUGGUAAAAUAGGGGAAAAUGUAAAUUCAGGGUAGUGCUGGAAAACUUAAAAUUAUUGUUUCAAUUUAUUUAUUUCCCUCUCAACCCAAAGCCAAGGUAUUUGAAAGAUACUGGGUGAGGGCCUCAUAAUUUUUUUUUGUUAACAUUUCUCCAAACGCUUAAAAAAAAAAAAACAAACAAAAAAAAAAAAACAGUGAGAAGGUUUGGUAGGUUGUAGGUGGGCAGGUAAACCAAUAAUUUAUAGACACUAAAUUCACCUAUACAUCAAAACAGGAUUGAUGUACCUGACCUCUCUAACCUAUUAUCAUAAAAUAUGACAAUUCCUGCAGAUAUGUUUUAAAAAUAACAAUUGAUUAGCAACCAAAUAUUAGAUAUAUAUACCUAAUAGCUAAGUAGUUGAAUUGGACUCUGUCCUUGUACACCAGAAAGAGAGGUUUAUUUCAAAAGCAGUUUUUCUUAACUUUUAGGCUGAUGGCCCACAGAGCGAGUUAGUCGCCCACGAUAGAUCUCUGCUACCGCUGGCGACCAACUGCUACAAAAUGCCUUUCCACUGGCAACAAUAGGAGUGGUGUAAAGAACUAUGGUAUGGCUUCAGCUUUCCGAAGUCACACAAAGUGAAUGCAUAGGCCUUUCCACUGGUGACUCCUAUUGUUGCUUGUGGAAAAGCAUUUCGGAGCGCUUAGUCACCAAGGAUAGCAGAAAUCUGUUGUGGGUGAUUAACACGCUCUGUGGCCCAUCAGCCUUAUUUCAGUGACCCAAACUAAGGGGCACAUUUAUGAUUGCUUGAGCAAUUGUAAAUGUGCCCAUAAGUCUCUAAAUCGGUUUUGGGAGCCAAAAUUUAGUUCACUCCUGAUUUUCCACCUCAUUUUAAUACAUUUUUUCUAUGGCCCCAUUAUCAAAGGACAGGGCUAAUUUUUAUUUCCAAACUCCCUGUCCUAAAGUUUGGUUAUAAAAAGGAAAACCACACAAUGGUACAAUUUUGCUAUCUCCAGAGAACCUAUGUUACCUCCAACAGAUUAUACCAAAUCAACCAAUCUAUACCUGAUCUAUGCACGGUAUGUAAUUACUUCUAAGCUACACCCAUGUACAUGAUUUUGCUCAGCCCUAAUAUGCAGAUGUUUUGGAGGUGUGUAGUGGAGGAAAACUCAGAAAUACUUUAUAGACCAAUACACAUGGAACCACUACUACUUAACUUGGUAGAUUUUAUAUUGCAGCUUGGCAUUAACAUUGUGAAGUUUUGUUUGUAUUAUGAACAUAUGGCCUGUAACUUUCCCAUAAUUUGUUUUCUUCUAUGUUUUAUGUAUUUGAACACCAAUACAAAAAAACAAUUGUCCAGAAAAGAAAACUGACAACCGUUCACACUGUAAUUACUGUAACUUCCUAUCCAUGGCAGAAUUUAGCUAAUUUCAAUAAGACUGAAAAAGACCCACUGGUAUAUGUAUGAAACAAUUGAGUCAGACUAAAGGGAAGCAAACACACUUCCUUUUUGGAUCAAGGGUGGUUGCGGGCAGAAUGUUGCUCUCAGCCCAGUACCCUGGGGUGAUGUUAUGCCCACUUUCCCCUCGAGGAGUCUAUAUUAAUAUUCUUUUUCCACAAUGAACAAAAAGUACACUUUGAAACAACUGUUAAAAAAGAGAGAGAAUGAAUGUGGCAUUGUUUACAGUGAAGAAGAGGAGCUCAACGUGAAUGAUCACUUUGAAUGAACUAUCUGGAAGACUUUCUCAAAAGGACACAACUGCAACUUGAAGGACAUGUCUUUUUUUUUUUUUUUAAAUGUAAAAUGUUAAAAGAAUACUGUCAUGGGAAAACAUGUGUUUUUCAAAAUGCAUAAGUAAAUAGAGCUUCUACAGCA
Molecule: long non-coding RNA, 3292 nt
Organism: Xenopus tropicalis (tropical clawed frog)
Lineage: Eukaryota; Metazoa; Chordata; Amphibia; Anura; Pipidae
Exons: 2
Source: RefSeq, a predicted model, not a curated record